GAGUGGAGUGCAUCAGGGAGAUUAUCUCCUGCCUAAUGUCCAAUGAUAGCUGCCAUUUCAAGGCAAAUCAGGUGUAUUCCAUAGAUGGAAUUAUUUCAAUUUACAACUUAAAACAAAACUUUGCCUGUUGGUCGCCGAUGAAGACUCAUCUUAGAAGCAUGUUAACACAAGUCUGUCUGGUGUUGUUUUUGUUACAUAAGUCUUGCUGUGUGGACUUUAUAUAUCAUGUAGAAGAAGGUCAAAACUCAGGCACUUAUGUAGGGGACAUUGGUUCCGAUGUUCAUUUGAUAAACAAUGUUCUAAUUGAAGAAUUAGGUUUGGUCAGCUUCAGCCAGUUAGAACAAGAUGUAAACAGUAGCAAUCAAUUAUUUACAGUUUUUAAAUCAGGAAAAUUGUAUACUGGCCAAAAGUUAGAUGCUGAAUCCCUCUGUAAAUACAACACUGAAUGUUUCAGAAUGGUUGAUGUAGCUGUUCAAAAGGAAGAAUCUUUUAUCAAGUUAUUAGAAAUCAAAGUAAUUAUUGAAGAUGCUAAUGAUCAUAAACCUGUAUUCCCCAAAAAACAGAUCAAUCUUCAAUUUGACGAAGGUGAUGGAAAAGGAAUGAUAAAAUCAAUACCUAAUGCUAUUGACAAGGACGUUGGAGUUAUAAAUUCUCAGAUUACCUACCAGUUAGAAAAGCAUGAUGGUGAUCCAUUCACUUUAUCUGAAUCAAAACGAGUGGAUGGAUCCUCUUCACUUGGAAUUACUCUUGAAAAUAAAUUAGACAGAGAAAAAAAGGACACUUACAUGUUAAAAGUUAUUGCCAGAGAUGGUGGCUCCCCACCUCAAGAAGGUCAUUUAAACGUUCUUAUUACAGUUACUGAUGUCAAUGACAACCCACCUCACUUCUCUCAGAAUUUAUACAAUGUUUCUGUAAAUAAUGGCUAUCACAAAGAUAUGCGGGUUGCACAAGUGUCUGCCAGUGAUUUAGACUCAGGCAAAAAUGGCCAAGUUUCAUACUAUUUCAGUUCUAAAACAUCAGAUGCAGCUAAAUCAAAUUUUGCACUGAAUGAAAAUACAGGAGAGAUAUUUUUAGUAAAAACAUUUGGUCAACGAAAAAAACUUCUAUACAAAUUAUUUAUUGAAGCUACAGAUAAUGGUAGUCCACCCCUGAGCUCCAUUGCAACAGUUUUAGUGAAUGUUCUAAACCAACAGAAUAAUCCACCACAGAUUGAUGUUAAAUUUGUUUCCAAAUCAACAGGAAUAACAGCAAGGUUUUCAGAAGGGAUUAAAGUUGGCAGUUUUAUUGCUUUUGUUAAAGUAACAGAUAAUGAUGCCGGACAGAAUGGAGAAGUUACUUGUGACCUUAAACAUGAUAAGUUUCUGCUGCAGAGUCUUGGAAAAAUGAAAUAUAAAGUUGUUGUCAAGAAUCCAGUGGAUCGAGAAACUGAAAGUUAUAUCAAUUUUACAAUUAGUUGCCAAGACAAAGGAUUUCCAUCUUUGAAAACGGAAAGAAAUUUUUCCAUCCAAGUAAUGGACAUUAACGAUGUACAACCUCAUUUUUCAAAAGAAUUGUUUAAAUUUCUAACUUAUGAAAAUGAGAAGCCAUUCUUCCCUAUUGGUUUCAUUAAUGUGACAGAUCAAGACCUUGGGGAAGGAGGGCAACUAUCAUACUCUUUAUUAGAUAAAAACAAGCAUGUACUUCCUUUUGAAAUUUCUAAUUUUGGGUUUAUUUCAACAACACAAUCACUGGAUCGAGAACAACAAGAAAUAUACCAUUUUCAAGUUUUUGUCAAAGACAAUGGAACACCGUCAUUAAACAACACAGCCAAUGUCAUCAUUGAAGUCAUGGACAAAAAUGACAAUGCCCCAUAUUUUACAUUUCCUAGUGUUAACCCCUUCAGCUUGGAUAUUUAUUACCAUCCACAGAGUAAAAAAGAUAUUACUGUUUUGAGAGCCUCAGACAGGGACAGUCAUGUGAAUGCUUUUCUCAGAUAUGAAAUUUUAGGUGGUAACGACAAGCAAUUAUUUACCAUUAAUCCUUACACGGGUGUAUUGUCAUUCUCUCGAACAGUUUACCAAAAUGAUGCUGGAUCAUAUGAUUUGAAAUUCAUAGUCAAGGAUAGUGGUAUCCCAGUUUUAUCAACAGUGACUACUUUAUCCUUGACGCUUACAGUUAGUAAUAAGACAUCUAAAAUGUUAACUCCACCAGAUACCAAAUCAGAUGAUAAAAUCCACAUUAAUCUUGUAAUAAUUAUAUUAUUGGCAGCUGUGAUAGUAUCAGUAGCCACAGUAGUGUCGAUAACAGUGUGUAUUGUACGGAGAAACCACCAGAGAAAUACAAAUUACAGAGCAAACGUAAAUACUGCUAACAAAAGUAUGAGUGCCAGUAGACAGCCUGGAUAUGAUAGUGAACAAAUGACACUUCAGUAUGAUGUCCCCGUCCCCGUGGCAACAUCUUUUAGCAAGAAUCGGAGCUCUCUGCCCUCUGGAUUAGGAAGACAAUCUCAUCCUGAGUAUGCAUUACCAUACAAAAAAAAUUCACUUUCAGGAAUGUAUUGUUCUACCAGUCGAGGAGGAAGUUUUCAGUGAGAUGUCUACAAUAUCUUGUGCUGAUAGUGGACGUGGCUUGAGCAAGGGAAAUUCUGAAAACUAUAAAGAUCUACAUGGUAAAAUAUAUCUGAACAGAAGAAGUUUUAAGAACAUUCAUCAAUCAUCUAACAAAUAUAUAUAAAAAUGCAAAACAUAGGUUGCAAUACCUUCCAAGACCAAUAGCUGCUAAAAGUGAGCAAUAAGAUCUACUAAAUUCUGUGAAUUUUCCUUUUUCUGUCCAAAAUAAUCAUUCGACUGAUAUUGAUGAGAACUCUCACUGCAAUGGUGUGAUUGACUAUAAAUUAUUACAAGAGAACAAUGGUAAUUCUAACUCAGUAUCAAACUUUUGGAAUCUACCAAUGAAGAACAGUUCCUCAUCUCAUAAAAACUAUUUCCAGCUUUACCAAAGGUACUAUAUUCAUCAGACUUUUGUCACAUUUCAUUCAUACAUGCACAUAUACAUAUAUUUUUAUGCACAUAUAUAUUUAUGCUAAGCAUAUUAUAUACAUAUAUACACACAUAUAUA
This 3096-nucleotide unclassified non-coding RNA is filed under the name Octopus sinensis (East Asian common octopus). RNAcentral's name for it is "protocadherin beta-15-like, transcript variant X5". The record is from RNAcentral. Lineage: Eukaryota; Metazoa; Mollusca; Cephalopoda; Octopoda; Octopodidae.